Long non-coding RNA from Thalassophryne amazonica, 151 nucleotides. RefSeq lists it as uncharacterized. Lineage: Eukaryota; Metazoa; Chordata; Actinopteri; Batrachoidiformes; Batrachoididae. The transcript is spliced from 3 exons. The record is from RefSeq and is a predicted model, not a curated record.
GAGUGUAAAUCCAAAAAGCUUCUCUUUUCAGAAGCAAAUUAUUAACAUCUCCACCACGAUUGUUAAGUUGUACAUGCUCUAUACCCAAGUAUCUGAGUGAACUCACAUUAUGAUUUUUCACAGAAAAAUGCACAGCCACAGGACUUUUGUU